AGAGCGAACGCUGGCGGCAGGCUUAACACAUGCAAGUCGAGCGCCUGUAGCAAUACAGGAGCGGCAGACGGGAGAGUAACACGUGGGAACGUACCUUUCAGUUCGGAACAACCAAGGGAAACUUUGGCUAAUGCCGAAUACGCCCGUAAGGGGAAAGAUUUAUCGCUGAAAGAUCGGCCCGCGUCUGAUUAGCUAGUUGGUGGGGUAAUGGCUCACCAAGGCGACGAUCAGUAGCUGGUCUGAGAGGAUGAUCAGCCUCACUGGGACUGAGACACGGCCCAGACUCCUACGGGAGGCAGCAGUGGGGAAUAGUUGGACAAUGGGCGCAAGCCUGAUCCAGCCAUGCCGCGUGAGUGAUGAAGCCUUAGGGUGUAAAGCUCUUUCGUCAGGGAAGAUAAUGACGGUACCUGAAGAAGAAGCCCCGGAUAACUUCGUGCCAGCAGCCGA
Molecule: ribosomal RNA, 447 nt
Filed under: uncultured soil bacterium
Lineage: Bacteria
Description: bacterial SSU rRNA
Rfam family: Bacterial small subunit ribosomal RNA
Source: RNAcentral